UACGUAGGGUGCGAGCGUUGUCCGGGAUUAUUGGGCGUAAAGAGCUCGUAGGCGGUCUGUCGCGUCGGUCGUGAAAACUUGGGGCUUAACCCUGAGCUUGCGGUCGAUACGGGCAUGACUGGAGUUCGGCAGGGGAGACUGGAAUUCCUGGUGUAGCGGUGAAAUGCGCAGAUAUCAGGAGGAACACCGGUGGCGAAGGCGGGUCUCUGGGCCGAUACUGACGCUGAGGAGCGAAAGCGUGGGGAGCGAACAGG
Molecule: ribosomal RNA, 254 nt
Filed under: uncultured bacterium
Lineage: Bacteria
Description: partial 16S ribosomal RNA
Rfam family: Bacterial small subunit ribosomal RNA
Source: RNAcentral